UCCAGCGCACUCACCUAUCCACUAAACAGCAACUUCAAAGUUGAAAGAUUUUAUUUGUUUUUUUUUAAAAAUGGGGUACAUUGACGUUGUGGCAGGCUUAUGCUAUGUAUGAUCAUAUAAUAUAACUAAACCCCCAUUAUUUUUGCCUAGAUUAGGUGUUUUUAAAAAAAACAAAUAAAAUCUUUCAACUUUGAAGUUGCUGUUUAGUGGAUAGGUGAGUGCGCUGGA
This is a non-coding RNA of Pelobates cultripes (western spadefoot toad), 228 nucleotides long. NCBI's taxonomy places the organism in Eukaryota, Metazoa, Chordata, Amphibia, Anura, Pelobatidae. The record is from the annotation of a GenBank genome assembly.